UAACUCAAUGAUAGAGUGUUUGCCUAUCAUGCACAAGUCCUGGGUUCAAUUCCUAG
RNAcentral lists this transfer RNA (56 nucleotides) under Neotoma lepida (desert woodrat). It matches the Rfam family "tRNA", at positions 8 to 63 of the family's 71-position model. Rfam says of the family: Transfer RNA (tRNA) molecules are approximately 80 nucleotides in length. Their secondary structure includes four short double-helical elements and three loops (D, anti-codon, and T loops). The record is from Rfam by way of RNAcentral. Lineage: Eukaryota; Metazoa; Chordata; Mammalia; Rodentia; Cricetidae.